Molecule: ribosomal RNA, 253 nt
Filed under: uncultured bacterium
Lineage: Bacteria
Description: partial 16S ribosomal RNA
Rfam family: Bacterial small subunit ribosomal RNA
Source: RNAcentral
UACGUAGGUGGCAAGCGUUGUCCGGAUUUAUUGGGUUUAAAGGGUGCGUAGGCGGUUGUAUAAGUCAGUUCUGAAAUAUCCCGGCUUAACCGGGAGGGUGGCAUUGAUACUGUAUAACUUGAGUAAAGUUGAGGUUGGCGGAAUUGACGGUGUAGCGGUGAAAUGCUUAGAUAUCGUCAAGAACACCUAUUGCGAAGGCAGCUAACUAAGCUUUAACUGACGCUGAGGCACGAAAGUGUGGGGAUCAAACAGG